RNAcentral lists this ribosomal RNA (406 nucleotides) under uncultured microorganism. RNAcentral describes it as "bacterial SSU rRNA". It matches the Rfam family "Bacterial small subunit ribosomal RNA", at positions 9 to 412 of the family's 1533-position model. The record is from RNAcentral.
GAGUUUGAUCAUGGCUCACAUUGAACGCUGGCGGCAUGCCUUACACAUGCAGGUCGAACGGCAGCAUGAUCUAGCUUGCUAGAUUGAUGGCGAGUGGCGAACGGGUGAGUAAUACAUCGGAACGUGCCCUGUAGUGGGGGAUAACUAGUCGAAAGAUUAGCUAAUACCGCAUACGACCUGAGGGUGAAAGUGGGGGACCGCAAGGCCUCAUGCUAUAGGAGCGGCCGAUGUCUGAUUAGCUAGUUGGUGGGGUAAAGGCCCACCAAGGCGACGAUCAGUAGCUGGUCUGAGAGGACGAUCAGCCACACUGGGACUGAGACACGGCCCAGACUCCUACGGGAGGCAGCAGUGGGGAAUUUUGGACAAUGGGCGAAAGCCUGAUCCAGCAAUGCGCGUGUGUGAAGAA